AGAGUUUGAUCCUGGCUCAGGACGAACGCUGGCGGCGUGCUUAACACAUGCAAGUCGAACGGAAAGGCCUCUUCGGAGGUACUCGAGUGGCGAACGGGUGAGUAACACGUGGGCAAUCUGCCCUGCACUUCGGGAUAAGCCUGGGAAACUGGGUCUAAUACCGGAUAGGACCUCAAGACGCAUGUCUUCUGGUGGAAAGCUUUUGCGGUGUGGGAUGGGCCCGCGGCCUAUCAGCUUGUUGGUGGGGUGAUGGCCUACCAAGGCGACGACGGGUAGCCGGCCUGAGAGGGUGUCCGGCCACACUGGGACUGAGAUACGGCCCAGACUCCUACGGGAGGCAGCAGAAGGG
This 349-nucleotide ribosomal RNA is filed under the name uncultured Mycobacterium sp. RNAcentral's name for it is "bacterial SSU rRNA". It matches the Rfam family "Bacterial small subunit ribosomal RNA", at positions 8 to 359 of the family's 1533-position model. The record is from RNAcentral. Lineage: Bacteria; Bacillati; Actinomycetota; Actinomycetes; Mycobacteriales; Mycobacteriaceae.